Molecule: RNA transcript, 1485 nt
Organism: Diospyros lotus (date-plum)
Lineage: Eukaryota; Viridiplantae; Streptophyta; Magnoliopsida; Ericales; Ebenaceae
Exons: 7
Source: RefSeq, a predicted model, not a curated record
UCUCCUUCCUCUCUCAGCUCACCCUCGCUGCCUCUCGCUCUCUGCCUCAUCUCCCUUGCUCGUCUGCUCGCGCUCGCGCUCACACUCGCUGGCUCUCUCUUGCUCUCGCUCGGGCUCGGCCCCUCUUGCUCUCGCUCACCCUCCGGCCCUCGCUGCCUUUCUCUUACUCUUGCCCUCGCUCUUUGCCUGACUGCCUCUCUCUUGCUCUCGCUCUCGCUCACCCUCGCCCCCACGCUCGCUUGGCCAGUCGGCCUUGCCCUCGCUCUCACUCACCCUCUCACUCGCAGCCUCUGAUUCAGAAUCUGAAAAUGAACCAGGAUCACUAUGCCUCAUGGAUGGUGCAACUUGGUGGGCCAAAACUGAUCGUUCAAAUUACAAAAGAAAUUGGUGUUGGAGUGCACUUCAACCCAUUUGUUUCUUGGAAGGACAAGGUGUUCAAGUAUGGAGUUUUUCGAAUAGAUGACUUGGUUCGGGACAUACUAAAUUGGGAGAGAUUCUAUUUGAGUGGCCGUUUGUAGAAGCCUGGGACUUGCGUAUGCUUUUUGCAGAGGACAAAAAUAAGGUUAAGAAGAUUGUAGAAGGGUAAUUUGAAUUAUUCCAGACAAUGUAUAAGCCAUUUCUAGAAGAAUAUGCAACCAAGAAUUUGCUGAGAUUCUCUUCAUUAGCUGGAUUGUGGUUUAUCUGCAGCUUCCUCCCUCGUUUCUUUUCUCCCUCCGACUGUCAGAAGUGAGCUGGGGUUUAGGUUAGGAGAAAAGUUUAAAGUAAGCGAGUCAGGUAUGAUGUCUGGCCCCUAUAGAUUGAUCCAACAAAUAUAUAUUACACAUAAUUGCCUCUAACUAAUAAGAAGUGAGUUAAUACAUGAAAUUAAGUACCAUCACAAGCAUUGUUUAGAAGUUGGAGAAGGAAUUUGAUGCAAUGAGUUUGUCUCUAGUUCAAGCCUUGUGAUGAUUCAUCAUCUAAUUUGACGCGGUGGGGGGUGGCAGGGAAACACAUAAAAAGAUGGUCGUGCAUACAUUUUUUUUUUUUUUUUUGUUGCGUUUCAGGUAAAGUUAUUCGCAAAGUUGCGAUUGGAUCAAGAAAGGAAGUUGUGAAAUGCAUGAGGAAGAUAGUGAGGCGACAUGUUAUGUUUUCGAGUGCCAGGCAAGCUGUAUCCGGUCUGCUGACGGUUGGUGUUGUUCAUGGAGCUAGAUAUCUUGCAAGUAAGAUGAGGAAGGCUUGGAAGUCCUGGAUUUGAACUUUCUAGGAUCAGUUCUGUCACCUCUUAACAAGAUAACCCGAUCGUGCCCUCUUAAUAGGAGCAGCUGCGACACCAAACCUCGAAGAACUUCCAACGGGUGUCCUCUAAUUCAAAGGUUGGUAUUGUCAACAGACCAACCAAAAUGCAAAGCUGUAGAUCAAAUUCUGUUUAGGAUCUGCAGUGCCAGGAAGGAAGUGACUUUAAUUAUGGGUUGCAAUUUUAACUAUUGAAUUACCAAGGGCAAUCUU